This 785-nucleotide ribosomal RNA is filed under the name uncultured bacterium. Its description in RNAcentral is "bacterial SSU rRNA". It matches the Rfam family "Bacterial small subunit ribosomal RNA", at positions 35 to 820 of the family's 1533-position model. The record is from RNAcentral.
GCUGGCGGCAGGCCUAACACAUGCAAGUCGAGCGGUAGAGAGAAGCUUGCUUCUCUUGAGAGCGGCGGACGGGUGAGUAAAGCCUAGGAAUCUGCCUGGUAGUGGGGGAUAACGUUCGGAAACGGACGCUAAUACCGCAUACGUCCUACGGGAGAAAGCAGGGGACCUUCGGGCCUUGCGCUAUCAGAUGAGCCUAGGUCGGAUUAGCUAGUUGGUGAGGUAAUGGCUCACCAAGGCGACGAUCCGUAACUGGUCUGAGAGGAUGAUCAGUCACACUGGAACUGAGACACGGUCCAGACUCCUACGGGAGGCAGCAGUGGGGAAUAUUGGACAAUGGGCGAAAGCCUGAUCCAGCCAUGCCGCGUGUGUGAAGAAGGUCUUCGGAUUGUAAAGCACUUUAAGUUGGGAGGAAGGGCAUUAACCUAAUACGUUAGUGUUUUGACGUUACCGACAGAAUAAGCACCGGCUAACUCUGUGCCAGCAGCCGCGGUAAUACAGAGGGUGCAAGCGUUAAUCGGAAUUACUGGGCGUAAAGCGCGCGUAGGUGGUUUGUUAAGUUGGAUGUGAAAUCCCCGGGCUCAACCUGGGAACUGCAUUCAAAACUGACUGACUAGAGUAUGGUAGAGGGUGGUGGAAUUUCCUGUGUAGCGGUGAAAUGCGUAGAUAUAGGAAGGAACACCAGUGGCGAAGGCGACCACCUGGACUAAUACUGACACUGAGGUGCGAAAGCGUGGGGAGCAAACAGGAUUAGAUACCUGGUAGUCACGCGUAACGAUGUCACUAGC